This 357-nucleotide ribosomal RNA is filed under the name uncultured Actinomycetes bacterium. Its description in RNAcentral is "bacterial SSU rRNA". It matches the Rfam family "Bacterial small subunit ribosomal RNA", at positions 287 to 656 of the family's 1533-position model. Lineage: Bacteria; Bacillati; Actinomycetota; Actinomycetes. The record is from RNAcentral.
CCGGCCUGAGAGGGUGACCGGCCACAUUGGGACUGAGAUACGGCCCAGACUCCUACGGGAGGCAGCAGUGGGGAAUAUUGCACAAUGGGCGGAAGCCUGAUGCAGCAACGCCGCGUGCGGGAUGACGGCCUUCGGGUUGUAAACCGCUUUCGCCUGUGACGAAGCGUGAGUGACGGUAAUGGGUAAAGAAGCACCGGCUAACUACGUGCCAGCAGCCGCGGUGAUACGUAGGGUGCGAGCGUUGUCCGGAUUUAUUGGGCGUAAAGGGCUCGUAGGUGGUUGAUCGCGUCGGAAGUGUAAUCUUGGGGCUUAACCCUGAGCGUGCUUUCGAUACGGGUUGACUUGAGGAAGGUAGGG